AGGUAUUAAUUGGCACUCUGUCCUGGGUAAAUGCUGUUGUGCCCAAUUCAAUCCACCAGGUGGACGGUCGUUUCCUGCUGAGAGUACGCUGUGCAUGAUUGGCUGCCACUUCUCACUGGUGUGUGGAUGAGGGCCGAGUAUAAAUGGUUGUCUGUCUAUCUGUCUGUCUGUCUGUCUGUCUAUUUAUCUAUCUAGUCUUCUCCCAAAGUUUCUUAAUCUUAGUGGCACCAUUUCUGUGUUGCUUACUCAUAAGGCUUGGACCCGUAUCUCUUUCAAGCUGCUUUGUGACAACAUUUCUUGUAAAAAGCACCAUAGAAAUUAAUUUGAAUUGAAUCUCCGUCUGCUAGAGGAAACUGGAAACUGGAAAGCUUAACAGUAAACAUCAGGUAAGUGAAAAUGAGGUAAAGUAAGUGCUCUCUACUUUACUUGGUGUUUGUUUUUAGUGCUACAGUUUGUCCGGAGUUCGAUUAAACAGUGUAAGAGUUCUCACAGUGAGCCAGGCUGACGCUAAAAAAGUCGUCCAUUCCAGCUGCUUUUAGGGUCCUCGCCAGUUCACAUUUGGUGAACCGCUUGGCGCUGACUGCCGCCACCAGCAGAAGGAGAACCCAGAUCUUCAUCCUGCUGCAGGAGGAGAACGGAUCUCUAGAAGUGCUGUGAAUCUUCUGUGUCACCUGUCUUGCACACCUCCCUUAAAUACAUACCGCUUGAGGAACUGGGGCAGUUGCUGGAAUAUUACAACAAAGAUAUUACAACAAAGCAUUGUGAAAUACUGAACAACUAAAUGUGAUGGCAUGGACUUUUAUUUUGCUUUUUGCUGUGUUCCACUUCCUGGAGCGGCCAUUUUGUCUCUUCCUGGUUAUGCUUAUUGUUGCUGUUUUCCUCCCUUCAUUGAGUGGCUAAUUAGCAAAAUGGUUUCUUCCAUGCUCUGAUUGGCUUAGGCCCUAUAAAUUAGCCCCUUUGACCUCCUUAAAGCAGGCAACACAUGCACAUCUCUAUUUUGAUUUGCCCCUCUAGCUGCUGCUGGAAGCUCCUGUUUGAAGCCAAUGCCGUUCAUGCUUUUAAGGCCCCUUGGAUGUGUGGAUUUAUGCAGUGGUGUUCAGUCGCAUAAAGAGCCCUGUGUUUUAAUAGAAUAACUAUAUUCUUGAUUUGGUACUAAUGUUUUAAUUACAGUAAAAAUAAAUGUUAAUGAGAUUUCUAUUUUGUGUGGAAAAUAAAUUAAUUAUUUUGGAAA
This is a long non-coding RNA of Astyanax mexicanus (Mexican tetra), 1231 nucleotides long. RefSeq lists it as uncharacterized. NCBI's taxonomy places the organism in Eukaryota, Metazoa, Chordata, Actinopteri, Characiformes, Acestrorhamphidae. The record is from RefSeq and is a predicted model, not a curated record. The transcript is spliced from 2 exons.